CUAAGGAACCGAAGAUGGUGCACUAGGGACCCGAAAGAUGGUGAACUAGCUCCCGUUGGUGCGGGAAACCACGCAAGGGGUGUCCGUUGCUUUUCCGCAAGGAGGGUACGGGCGUACGGCCAACGGCGAAUGUUCCGGCUAUGUAGACGUGCACUUCUCCUCUAGUAGGACGUCGCGACCCGUUGCGCGUCGGUCUACGGGCUGAGCGGUAGACCGUUGCGUCGCCUCGUGCGUACGCGACGGACCCUCGGUGGCCCGACCGGCUGCGCGACGGUAUUGCAGACGGUAUUGGGCCGCAACCAGUCUUUACUGUCGAACGUGCGUCAGGCCCGCCGCAAGCUCGAGCAGUCGCCCUGUGGUACGGAUGAUAUUCCCGUUCACGGGCCUGCUCAGCUGUUAGCAGGAGGUGCCCUCGGACUGGCCAAGCUUUAAAAUACCGGUCGGCGACGCUAUUGCUUUGGGUACUCUCAGGACCCGUCUUGAAACACGGACCAAGGAGCCUAACAUGUACGCGAGUCAUUGGGAUGUACAAACCUAAAGGCGAAAUGAAAGUGAAGGUCGUCCUUUGCGUCGACCGAGGGAGGAUGGGCGCUGUAAAGUGCUCCGCACUCUCGGGGCGUCUCGUUCUCAUUGCGAGAAGAGGCGCACCUAGAGCGUACACGUUGGGACCCGAAGGGGGA
Molecule: ribosomal RNA, 680 nt
Filed under: Protandrena abdominalis
Lineage: Eukaryota; Metazoa; Arthropoda; Insecta; Hymenoptera; Andrenidae
Description: partial large subunit ribosomal RNA
Rfam family: Eukaryotic large subunit ribosomal RNA
Source: RNAcentral